Cavia porcellus (domestic guinea pig) is the source of this 2317-nucleotide long non-coding RNA. RefSeq lists it as uncharacterized. The record is from RefSeq and is a predicted model, not a curated record. The transcript has 3 exons. Lineage: Eukaryota; Metazoa; Chordata; Mammalia; Rodentia; Caviidae.
GCCACAAUGCCUCGCUGAACAGCCCUUAAAUCUUUAUUGUAUUUUGCCUCUGGGGCUUGCUCAUCACUGUGGGUCUAAAAGUGUCUGUUAUGGUCAGAAAUAACUUUAAAAAAAUAUUGCACCACUGAGCCAACGAGUAGUUCAAAUGGCUCCAAAAGUGUAAACUUGUAAAAUGCAACGCAGAGGAAGCACUUCAGCAUUUGGAAUAAACGGACUGCUUCACUGUGUCACUCUCAGCACUUUUGUUUUACGAAGCCCAGAAAUACUGAGCUGAAGGAAGAGUAUCUAUAAAGCCCCCGAAGGUACUUGAGAAUUUUCUUUUCUUCCUGGACAAGAAAGAUGAACAGCCGUGUGGACAUCAUAGCUGAAAGCUGCUCUUAAAACCUGCUGCUUUUUCCUUCGUGGAGCACGUUCUCCAAGCCUGAGAGCGCAAAGGUCUGGAGAGAAACAGUUUAAACUGGGAAUUAUCAGCCUGUGCUUUUAACCUAAUCACGUGCAUGGCUAUUUCUCAUACAAUAUGGACCAUUCAUUGAGUUUCGCUUCUUGGUUUCUACUUGGUUAUACUAAAAAGGUCAUCCGAUGAUUUCUUACGAUUGCAUUGAAUUUAUGCAAUUUGAACAAGAAUAUUUUGGCAGUGAUAUUCCUUCUCAAUGCAGCAUAUCAGGGGUGAGAAAAUACGGAGAGUGGAUUCUAUGGAGGUCAUGAAGAAGAUGGAUGGAGAUGAAGAAAAAUGGAUUGCAGUAGGGAAAGAGAAAGGAAAAUGAAAUACAGAUAAAAAUAUGAAUGGAAAAUAGAAGGAAACAGGCAAGAAGGAAAAAAAAAUGGGCCCAACGUCUGAGACACCUAGUUUAGCAAUGAAAAGGAGGCUCAUAUGAGAUACCGAAAGAAAGAAAUUAUGAGGAAGAAAAUUAUGACUUCUUAUAAAGUCCAGGAGUCUUGGGUAGACUUGGGUAAGCAUCGGAGGACAAAAAUCACACAACAGGGCAAAAGAGAAUAUACCAACGGUUUCAACAUUCUUAAACCUUUAUCGGUAGAGAGGUAAAAUGGAAUCUGUGUAUUUACUGAAAUCAAAAUUCCAGCUUGGAUCUUGGCAUGGUUGGCAUGGCUGAAGCAUUGGCCGUGUAGUAAAAAGUUCACAGCGAAGUCCCAGUCCAGUGUGGUAUCUAAGUAAGUUAUACUGCAAUAUAAGUUGCUGAAGUUUGAGAUUUUUUUGUUUUGUUAUCUGUAAAAUAAGCAUAAUAACAGUACUAAUAGUAGUGCUUCAGGAUUAUUGUGAGCAUUUCAUUUUAAAGUUUCAUGUACAGUCUUAGUAUUUGUAUUGAGAGUGUUAAUUAUACUACUAUUAGUUACAAAGCUUCAAACAAAUAUUUUUAUUUCUGACCGUCGCUACUUAAUCUAUAGAAUGGGAGCAAAGAUAAAAUAUUUAUGGGACUUAUGAUAUAGCUCAGUGGCACAGUGACUUCCUGGCAAGUGCAAGGUCCUGAGUUCAAUUCCUGAUAUAAAAAAAAAAAUUAUGAUCUGGAGGGAGGCAUAAAUUCUGUUAUCUACACCAAAUUUCGGUCACAAAAUUGGUUCACAAUAGUAGCUAUUAUUGUUUAGAAUGCACUGGCUUCAAAACCAAUACGAGUUCUAACUUUCUCAGGUAACAAAAUGUGUUUAGAAUAUCUAAUUUAUUUUUUACUUUAUGGACCUGAUGCCUUUUACAUCAAGGGACAGGAACUCUGCACAGAUUGGCAGUAGUACUUGUGUUCUCCUUAGGAAGAACACUGAGGCUAAAUAGCUUCUGAAAGCCCUUAGAUCACCAAAUUCUGUUUGUCUGUCAAAAUAGUUUGGAAUCUGCUUCUGAUUUUCCAAAUUUCACUCCUCUUUUCCUAGCCAUUAUUAUGCUUUCUGUGGUUAUCUUCAUCUGUUAUCCAUAUAUCUACAAAUAUAUGCCUAUAUAUGAUUGCAUAUAUAGCAAUAUAUGUAUAUUAGGAAACACAGUUUUGGUCAUUCCAAGAUUGGUUCUUUGAAAGAGAAGAAGGAAGAGCUGUAUAAGAAAUAAACAAACUUCCUUUUAAGAUACUGCCUGGUUUCCACAAUCCUUUAUUUCUUCAUUUCACCAUCUUUCUUAUGAAACACAGCUUCUCAUACCAAGCAGUGUGCACAGAAACCAUGGAGCAAACAGUUGUUCAUUUGGAUUCUUAGAAGCAUAAGGUUAAGUUUUCCUCACAAUAUGUUCUGUUUGACUGAAAUCAAAGACCCAUAUCAGCCAUGGUUCUACAAUCAGAGAUUUAUAGUAGGUGUUUCACUGGAAGCUAUAUUAUUGUAAUUGAUU